UUAGUGGUGUGAUGACAGCACAAAGUACACAGACUCUGUGAAGGGCCGGUUCACCACCUCCAGAGACAAUGCCAAGAACAUGCUUUAUCUGCAAAUGAACAACCUGAAAGACGAGGACACAGCUGUAUAUUUCUGUGCAAAAG
Carlito syrichta (Philippine tarsier) is the source of this 143-nucleotide long non-coding RNA. RefSeq lists it as uncharacterized. The record is from RefSeq and is a predicted model, not a curated record. The transcript has 3 exons. NCBI's taxonomy places the organism in Eukaryota, Metazoa, Chordata, Mammalia, Primates, Tarsiidae.